GACGAACGCUGGCGGCGUGCUUAACACAUGCAAGUCGAACGGUGAACCUCUUCGGAGGGUAUCAGUGGCGAACGGGUGAGUAACACGUGGGCAACCUGCCCCCGGCUCUGGGAUAACUCCAAGAAAUUGGGGCUAAUACCUGAUGUUCACCGCUUCCCGCAUGGGUGGCGGUUGAAAGGGUUUCCGGCUGGGGAUGGGCCCGCGGCCUAUCAGCUUGUUGGUGGGGUAGUGGCCUACCAAGUCGACGACGGGUAGCCGGCCUGAGAGGGUGACCGGCCACACUGGGACUGAGACACGGCCCAGACUCCUACGGGAGGCAGCAGUGGGGAAUAUUGCGCAAUGGGCGGAAGCCUGACGCAGCGACGCCGCGUGGGGGAUGACGGCCUUCGGGUUGUAAACCUCUUUCAGCAGGGACGAAGCGCAAGUGACGGUACCUGUAGAAGAAGCACCGGCCAACUACGUG
This 463-nucleotide ribosomal RNA is filed under the name uncultured bacterium. RNAcentral's name for it is "partial 16S ribosomal RNA". It matches the Rfam family "Bacterial small subunit ribosomal RNA", at positions 28 to 507 of the family's 1533-position model. The record is from RNAcentral.